CAGACAGGACUGUCUAGAAAGAGGAGCAGACCUGGUCAUCAUAAACAGCAGAGAGGAACAGGUGAGAGAGAGAGAGAGAGAGAGAGAGAGAGAGAGAGAGAGGAGAGCAGACAGGACUGUCUAGAUAGAGGAGCAGACCUGGUGAUCAUAAACAGCAGAGAGGAACAGGUGAGAGAGAGAGAGAGAGAGAGAGAGAGAGAAGAGAGGAGAGAGGAGAGCAGACAGGACUGUCUGGAUAGAGGAGCAGACCUGGUAAUCAUAAACAGCAGAGAGGAACAGGUGAGAGAGAGAGAGAGAGAGAGAAGAGAGGAGAGAGGAGAGCAGACAGGACUGUCUAGAAAGAGGAGCAGACCUGGUGAUCAUAAACAGCAGAGAGGAACAGGUGAGAGAGAGAGAGAGAGAAUACUUUUCAUCAGUAAACUAAUGUGUGUGCAGUUUUUUAUAAAUAUAUUUAAAAAGUUAGUUUUUUAUCUUUCUCAACAAUAGACAUUUGUCUUCAACCUCCACCUGAGAGCCUGGAUUGGUCUGACUGACUGUUACUGAGGGGAUCUGGAAGUGGGUGGACGGCACAACACUGACCACAGGGUACUGGAGCGCAGGACAGCCUGAUGAUAAUGGGAAAGAGGACUGUGUUGAGAUAUACUAUGGACAAGAUGACCCUGUAAAGACAUGGAAUGAUGAAAAUUGUCACAAAUAUCAUGACUGGAUAUGUGAGAAAGUGGUAUAACGAUAAUCCACAGUAACAAACAUUCUCUCUCUCUGUCUCUCUCUCUCUCUCUCUCUCUCUCUCAAUUCAAGGCCUUUAUUGUCAUGGGAAACAUAUGUUAACAUUGCCAAUGCAAGUGAAGUAGAUAAUAUACAGAAGUGAAAUAAACAAUAAAAAUGAACAGUAAACAUUACACUCACAGAGGUUCCAAAAGAAUAAAGACAUGUCAAACGGCGCCCCACAUCAAAAUAUUUUUCAACCAGCACAGACUUUGUAAAAUCACAAAUAUCGGUUAAAUAUUAACUUACUUUUUAAAAAUCUUCCUCUGAUUUGCAAUCCAAAGGGUCCCAACUACAACAUGUAUGGUCGUUAUGCAAGAUAAAAUCCUUCUUUAUAUCCCAAAAAGUCAGUUUAGUUGGAACCAUCGAUUUGAGUAAUCCACUCGUUCAACAUGCAGAGAAAGGAAUCCUAAAAGCUACGGCUAAACUUUGUUAAAACAAGUCCAAAUACGUUUCUAUUGAAUCCUCAGAUACCCUAAAAUGUAAUUCAACUAUAACAUUUCAUACGGAAAGUAGUAUGUUCAAUAGAAAAGCUAAAUUAGCAGGUGCGCGUCUUCUUCGUCACGCACCAGUCUGAUUUCCAACUCUGACUCCCAGUACUAAAACUCAAAAGUCUUCCUUGUUUGGGAAAAAACAAAACUGAAACCUUGAACAACGACUGUUGAUAUCUAGUGGAAGCCAUAGGAAUUGCAAUCUAUGAGCUGGAUUUGUAUACGACCCUAUUACCUUCCAUUGUAAGAGCAUGGGCUCUCAAAAAAAAAAUACAUUCUGUUUGGAUUUUCUUUGGAUUUUCUCCUACCAUAUCUAUUGUGUUAUAGUCUCAUACAUUAUUUUAACAUUUCUCCAAACUUCAAAGGGUUCUCCAUCCAAUGGUACCACUUAUAUGCUUAUCCUGGCUUCUGGGCCGGAGUAACAGGCAGUUUACUUUGGGCACGUCAGUCAGGCGGAAAUUCAGAAAAAAAGACCCUAGCCUGAAGAAGUGAUGAUUCCACCUUCUGGUUAAAGUGAGAGAUGAACUCAACAUAGAGGUGAAAUUGAGACUCUGUCUCAAAACACAUUGGAGAACAGAAUCCAGGGGGACUGACCUUGGACCUUCUCUAAUAGGGUUGAAAGGAGGAGAGGAGGUAGGAGAGGAAUCUAGGAAAAAAUAAUUGAGAUAUAGCCUUAGUGUCAGAGAGAGACAUAGAGGAGGAAGAAAAUUAAGAGUGAGGAAGAGAGCAAAAAUAAUAUGAAUAAUUGUUGUGUUUAGAUUAAGAGGAGAGUAUGUAGACAUACUGUACUCUGUAAAAUGAUUCUUCAUUGGUUUUAUUAGAAACAUGUCAUGUGAUUUGCCAUAGACUUAUGCUUAGUAAAAAAAAGUGGAACCAAUUAUGAACCAAUGCUUAUCACUUUAGUGAUAUGAAUAGCCAAGUCACUUUUGAAUAAAAAAAGGAACAAUUGUCUUUAAUUAACAAGGUCUACCAGC
Long non-coding RNA from Oncorhynchus tshawytscha (Chinook salmon), 2230 nucleotides. The record is from Ensembl. Lineage: Eukaryota; Metazoa; Chordata; Actinopteri; Salmoniformes; Salmonidae.